GCUGCCUCUCACACCUGUGAGUCGUUAGGCUCGUUAUGGCAUCUUUUUAGGGAGAGGGUUGCUGAGCAUUCGACGCUUGAGUGUCGUCCUUUGUGGUACCUCAAGCCCUGUAUCCUGUUCUCAUUUUACAAGCUCUCUGAGAUCUUCUUGUGACCUAGCUCUGUUCCUUUUUUAAGUUGCCUUCCUGGAUCCUUCUGGUGGUUCCUGUGCAACCUGUUCUCACUCUCCUUCUGAAGUUCCCCGUUUGGAUCGCAGGCUUACCAUCACCGGGUUCUAGACGCUCAGCUGCCUAACCUGUCCACCCUCCAAUGAACUGUUUACCUUUUGGAAACACGGACCUUCCAUCCAAGAACUCUAACCUGUCCACCCUCCAAUGAACUGUUUACCUUUUGGAAACACGGACCUUCCAUCCAAGAACUGACCACCCCUCCCGGACUCCAUUCCUGCCAGCAACAAGGACGUUCCGCCGGAGCCGCCCUGAAUUCCUCAUUCAUGUCAUAUCCCUUCUGAAUAAAUCUCUUAAAACUUCA
Girardinichthys multiradiatus is the source of this 530-nucleotide long non-coding RNA. RefSeq lists it as uncharacterized. The record is from RefSeq and is a predicted model, not a curated record. The transcript is spliced from 2 exons. Lineage: Eukaryota; Metazoa; Chordata; Actinopteri; Cyprinodontiformes; Goodeidae.